GAUGAACGCUGGCGGCGUGCCUAAUACAUGCAAGUCGAGCGAACAGAUGAGGAGCUUGCUCCUCUGACGUUAGCGGCGGACGGGGGAGUAACACGUGGAUAACCUCCCUAUAAGACUGGGAUAACUUCGGGAAACCGGAGCUAAUACCGGAUAAUAUAUUGAACCGCAUGGUUCAAUAGUGAAAGACGGUUUUGCUGUCACUUAUAGAUGGAUCCGCGCCGCAUUAGCUAGUUGGUAAGGUAACGGCUUACCAAGGCAACGAUGCGUAGCCGACCUGAGAGGGUGAUCGGCCACACUGGAACUGAGACACGGUCCAGACUCCUACGGGAGGCAGCAGUAGGGAAUCUUCCGCAAUGGGCGAAAGCCUGACGGAGCAACGCCGCGUGAGUGAUGAAGGUCUUCGGAUCGUAAAACUCUGUUAUUAGGGAAGAACAAAUGUGUAAGUAACUAUGCACGUCUUGACGGUACCUAAUCAGAAAGCCACGGCUAACUACGUG
RNAcentral lists this ribosomal RNA (497 nucleotides) under uncultured bacterium. RNAcentral's name for it is "partial 16S ribosomal RNA". It matches the Rfam family "Bacterial small subunit ribosomal RNA", at positions 28 to 507 of the family's 1533-position model. The record is from RNAcentral.